This 497-nucleotide ribosomal RNA is filed under the name uncultured bacterium. RNAcentral's name for it is "partial 16S ribosomal RNA". It matches the Rfam family "Bacterial small subunit ribosomal RNA", at positions 28 to 507 of the family's 1533-position model. The record is from RNAcentral.
GAUGAACGCUGGCGGCGUGCCUAAUACAUGCAAGUCGAGCGAACAGACGAGGAUCUUGCUCCUCUGACGUUAGCGGCGGACGGGUGAGUAACACGUGGAUAACCUACCUAUAAGACUGGGAUAACUUCGGGAAACCGGAGCUAAUACCGGAGAAUAUAUUGAACCGCAUGGGUCAAUAGUGAAAGACGGUGUUUCUGUCACUUAUAGAUGGAUCCGCGCCGCAUUAGCUAGUUGGUAAGGUAACGGCUUACCAAGGCAACGAUGCGUAGCCGACCUGAGAGAGUGAUCGGCCACACUGGAGCUGAGACACGGUCCAGACUCCUACGGGAGGCAGCAGUAGGGAAUCUUCCGCAAUGGGCGAAAGCAUGACGGAGCAACGCCGCGUGAGUGAUGAAGGUCUUCGGAUCGUAAAACUCUGUAAUUAGGGAAGAACAAAUGUGUAAGUAACUAUGCACGUCUUGACGGUACCUAAUAAGAAAGCCACGGCUAACUACGUG